GCUCGGGUGGCGAAAUAGGUAGACGCAAGGGACUUAAAAUCCCUCGGUUGCAAAACCAUACGGGUUCGACUCCCGUCCCGAGCACCA
Molecule: transfer RNA, 87 nt
Filed under: Bacillota bacterium
Lineage: Bacteria; Bacillati; Bacillota
Description: tRNA-Leu
Rfam family: tRNA
About the family: Transfer RNA (tRNA) molecules are approximately 80 nucleotides in length. Their secondary structure includes four short double-helical elements and three loops (D, anti-codon, and T loops).
Source: RNAcentral